CCUACGGGAGGCAGCAGUGAGGAAUAUUGGUCAAUGGGCUUACGCCUGAACCAGCCAAGUCGCGUGAGGGAAGACUGCCCUAUGGGUUGUAAACCUCUUUUGUCAGGGAGUAAUUGGCGCUACGUGUAGCGUUAUCGAGAGUACCUGAAGAAAAAGCAUCGGCUAACUCCGUGCCAGCAGCCGCGGUAAUACGGAGGAUGCGAGCGUUAUCCGGAUUUACUGGGCGUAAAGCGCUCGUAGGCGGUAUGUCAAGUCAAGGGUGAAAUCCCCGCGCUCAACGUGGGAACUGCCUUUGAAACUGGCAAACUGGAGUGUGUGAGAGGAUAGUGGAAUUCCAGGUGUAGGAGUGAAAUCCGUAGAUAUCUGGAGGAACAUCAGUGGCGAAGGCGACUAUCUGGCACAUAACUGACGCUGAGGAGCGAAAGCGUGGGUAGCAAACAGGAUUAGAUACCCGAGUAGUC
This 461-nucleotide ribosomal RNA is filed under the name uncultured bacterium. RNAcentral's name for it is "partial 16S ribosomal RNA". It matches the Rfam family "Bacterial small subunit ribosomal RNA", at positions 338 to 795 of the family's 1533-position model. The record is from RNAcentral.